Molecule: non-coding RNA, 213 nt
Organism: Drosophila virilis
Lineage: Eukaryota; Metazoa; Arthropoda; Insecta; Diptera; Drosophilidae
Source: RefSeq, a predicted model, not a curated record
CGAACGAUCCCUUUUAAAAAAUUAAUACAAAUUGGCAAUGUUUUGAGAGCAGUUUUGCUGCUCUUUUUUGUGAAAUUGUGGCAGGAACUGAUGCGUGCGCUAAACACAAACAGAAUGGAAAUGGGAACAAGAACAAGAACAAACAGGAUGAAGUAUGAGAAAAGUUUUCAAAACCAGCUGCAAAUAAAUUUAAGCUAGAUUUUUACUCCAAUA